Molecule: long non-coding RNA, 256 nt
Organism: Cucumis melo (muskmelon)
Lineage: Eukaryota; Viridiplantae; Streptophyta; Magnoliopsida; Cucurbitales; Cucurbitaceae
Exons: 3
Source: RefSeq, a predicted model, not a curated record
AAACACUAAAAAACCCAAACUCACAACCAUUUUGCUGAAAUGAUACAGAUCUACAUUUGACUAAUUUGGUCCCUUGUUGCCUGGACAUCUUAAAGUUGAUUUUGGUGAUGCAGUUGCCCUUUAGAAAAUCUUUAAAGAGCACCGUGACUGAAUAGCUGGGUUUUUGUUUGAGCCUAUUCAAGGAGAGGCAGGGGUAUGUAUGAUUGGACAUAAAUCUUUUUACACUACUGAAGGUUAAUUUUCUUUUUAUACCCAU